RNAcentral lists this ribosomal RNA (496 nucleotides) under uncultured bacterium. RNAcentral describes it as "partial 16S ribosomal RNA". It matches the Rfam family "Bacterial small subunit ribosomal RNA", at positions 30 to 523 of the family's 1533-position model. The record is from RNAcentral.
AUUGAACGCUGGCGGAAUGCUUUACACAUGCAAGUCGAACGGUAGAGGGGGCAACCCCUCGAGAGUGGCGAACGGGUGAGUAAUAUAUCGGAACGUGCCCAGUCGUGGGGGAUAACGUAGCGAUAGUUACGCUAAUCCCGCACACGACCUAAGGAUUAACGCGGGGGAUCGCAAGACAUCGCGCGCUUGGAGCGGCCGAUAUCAGAUUAGGUAGUUGGUAGGGUAAAGGCUCACCAAGCCAACGAUCUGUAGCUGGUCUGAGAGGACGACCAGCCACACUGGAACUGAGACACGGUCCAGACUCCUACGGGAGGCAGCAGUGGGGAAUUUUGGACAAUGGACGCAAGUCUGAUCCAGCCAUUCCGCGUGCAGGAUGAAGGCCCUCGGGUUGUAAACUGCUUUUGUACGGAACGAAAAGGUCUCUCUUAAUACGGGGGACUCAUGACGGUACCGUAAGAAUAAGCACCGGCUAACUACGUGCCAGCCGCCGCCGUAA